Urocitellus parryii (Arctic ground squirrel) is the source of this 107-nucleotide small nuclear RNA. The record is from Ensembl. NCBI's taxonomy places the organism in Eukaryota, Metazoa, Chordata, Mammalia, Rodentia, Sciuridae.
GUACUCGCUUCAGCAGUACAUACACUAAAAUUGGAACAAUACAGAGAAGAUUAGCAGGGCCCCUGCACAAGAAUAACAGGCAAAUUUGUGAAGCAUUCCAUAUUUUU